CUUCUUUUCAAAACACAACCUACUACAUGGCUAUUUGAGGGUUCGGCUGGGCAGAAAACAGGAGUUUCCUCCCUCCUCUGGGGUUAUUUAAGGAAAACUCAGUGUUUCCCCUCCUCUCCAUGCAGUUCUGGGUGUGGUUUUGAAACUUCUGUGAAUGAUGUGUAUGCCUUUGACUCAGUCCUUAACUUAAAGAGGGGAGGAGGAGCGUAUUAGUUGGAGCACAGUUUGAGCUUGGGGUUGCAUUGGAGCUAAGGAGCAACUUGUAUGAUCUGCUGUAUUCUCUGUUUAAGCUAUGGCUUUAGGAUCAUCACACUAAGGGCAUAUAAAGACAAUUGGGCUUUAAAUCAAUCCCAAGUGAAAGCUGGCAGUACUUUUGUUAAUGAUCUCAGAGUUUUAGAAGACUUCCAACAUGCACACCAUCCUAAGGGUGUGCCUCCCUGUGGUGAAAAUGGAGCAUUGCGAGUUAUGGGGCUCAACCUCCUGUGCCUACUGA
Molecule: long non-coding RNA, 493 nt
Filed under: Salmo trutta (river trout)
Lineage: Eukaryota; Metazoa; Chordata; Actinopteri; Salmoniformes; Salmonidae
Description: lncRNA (ENSSTUG00000013795.1)
Source: RNAcentral